CUACAUAUCAAUGUGAGAUGUAUCAUGUUAAUUAGCUAGGUAGCUUACAAAAUAGAGAUAGGGCAUAUGAUGUUAAUGUUUUGAUGUUGAAAUAGUUUCACUAUGUUUAUUUAAUUGGAAGAAUGUUAGUUAGUAGUAUUGUAUACUAUAGUGUGUGUUGCUUUUAAUUAUUUUUUUUAGUAUUUUGAGAGUUUUUUUGAUAAUAUAUCAUUUGGGCAAAAUAUCACCGACUUUGUCGAUUAUUGAUGUUUUUUUCGAAAAACUUGACUUGUAGCGAA
Molecule: long non-coding RNA, 278 nt
Filed under: Trifolium pratense (red clover)
Lineage: Eukaryota; Viridiplantae; Streptophyta; Magnoliopsida; Fabales; Fabaceae
Description: long non-coding RNA (TPRA_LNC002544)
Source: RNAcentral